AAUGUCUUGCCUUCAGAAGUUGUGGGUGCUCCAUCACUGGAGGCUUUAAGAAGAGACUGCAUAGCCACUUCUCUGGAAUUGUAUAGUUUUCUGCUUGAGUAGGGGAUUGGUCUACAAGACUUCCAAGGUCCCUUCCAACUCUGUUAUUCUGUUACUCUAUGAUUGUAAUAGCUGCUUCUGUUGAAACAACAUGUGACAACAGGGCUUAUUCUUCAGGGGAUCAGACAUUUUUUAUGUCUUUCCUUAAAAUUAUUUGCUAGUGCUUCUUAGAACAGGACAAUAUGUAGCCAUAUCCCUUCAUGUAUUUACAGAAGUAGGCUCACAAAGAGCCACUGUGAGGCAGCCUUGCUUGUUUGCCAUUCUUGAAAUAAAACCACCAGUUCUACUUUCCUGUCACAUUAUAAUGAUAGAUCUGAUGUCUUAGAAAUAUAAUUGACAAUCUCCCAAGUUCCAAUUUUUUGGGAUUAUGCUUUUAAUUGAUCAUUUUAUCUAAACCUUAAAAAGCCCCUUCUUCAGUAUUUAUGCUUAUUUUUUUCAGGAAGCAGCCAAACAAGCCAACAACCCGAGCCACAUCUAAAAGUCAGAAUCCAUCCCCAGCUCUUCCUUCAAAUCGUCAGAAAUUAGUAGAGAAAAAGCAAUCAUCUGCCACUGCAAAAGUGAACAAAAGUCCUCGCUUGGCCCUCUCAAAAUUUCAGCCCACCAAACGCAGAAGGGAAGCGAGUCCUCCAGUGUCCCGAAAGAAGGAUCACCAGAGGGCCGUUGAGACUGACAUGAAAAAGUCGAAGCGAUAGUUGGAACCCAUGUCAGUGGGGAUUCAGGGUGGGAGGGAACUAUCUCUGUUCUAUAAAGCUUGAGGAGGGGAACUGCAUGUGUGUAUUUCCAAGAUGUAACUUAUAAUACACAUGUAAUAUUUUAAACAGUUUUAUAAACUAUUUGUUUAGCAGAAGAUAGUAUGAAUUAGAGAAGGUUUCUUUGGGUCCAGGAGGAAUUCACUGUUGCUUCCAAUCCACUCUUUACUAGUCGCCUCUUAACACCUUUUGUAUAUAAAACAUUUAUUUAAAAAAGACUGUACUUUACUGUGUAUGAACAUAAUGGGAACAUUUUAUUGAACCGCAAGACCUGGUAUUAUAUCAUCUUGUUUUAACUGGAUUAUUAAAUGUUGUGCUGCCAUGCUUAGUGCUGGGUAGGACUAGGAGAAGGAAGUGGGAAGCUAAUUUGGCUCAGAACAUUCUCACGUGUUUGGGUCAAGUAGGUAGGCAUAAGGAGAGAUUUGUUACUUCUCUUGUUGUGUUUGUAACUUUCUCUAUGCUAAGAGUUAAGAAUGGCAUUUACAGUGUUGAGUUCAACGUGCCCUUUCUUUUGGAAAUGUAUUCUCACAUAAAAUUUCUCCCAGUGUCCCAGCUAGAACACAGUAAAAGAAGAAUUUUCAGCUGAAGAGCACAUCAUCUUUCUAUGGAGUUCUUAAUUGUUCUUCUCCCAGUGCUUUUAUUUCUCCAUAGAAAAAUGGAAAACAAAAAGGACUGAAAAGAUUGGCAACAUGCCUACUUUAUCCACUAGUAUUAAAGAAGUAGAAUCUGGUUAGUUGUUUUAGUAGACUUGCAUUUUACUCUCUCAAGAACAAAUCUUCAAUUUGAGUUCCAUGUAAAGCUUUUUUAUUGUUAAUCACAUUUGUCUCUUGCAAAAACAUAAGUUGCCAAAUAUUCUGAGAUUAUUUUAAAAUGUUGAUAUUCAUCUUUUAUAACUGAAACCAACAUUGAUUUUAAUUGGUUUUUGUUUUGUUUUGGUUUGGUUUGGUUUGGUUUGGGGGUCUUUUGUUGUACUGAAGAUAUUUCUGUCAAAUAUUCUAGUUUGUUUCUUAUUUGAAUGUUUAUAUAUAAAUUACAAAAUGUUUCCAAACUAGAGUCUCAGUAUUUGAAUUGUUAGAUUUUUGCAUGUAUUUGUAGUCUACACUCAAAGGUUGUCACCCCAAACAUUUCUGAAUACUAUUGAUGUUUAUGCAAACUAAGCACAAGUUGAAAUCUGUGAUGCUCUGAGCCCAGCAAUUUGAUGGCCCUUUGUUUAGGAUUAGGCUCAAGAAACAGAAGUUACAGCAUGGGUCAAUCAUGUUCAUCAGGAGGUCUGUAGGAUAUAAUCGAAAUAAAAAUGGUGGCCAUGAGAGUAUAGUCAAAACUUUGCCUGAUUUUUAUAUGCAAAGCUUCAAUCACAUUAUUGUGGCUGCCAUUUUGACCUUUUUGAUGAUAUUCUGUGGAUGCCCCUGCAUUUCAAGUAGAAGUUCUUAAUCCUUUUCUAUUUUUAAUUAUGGCAGAUUAAAACUGUUAUCAGUUUAA
Crotalus tigris (Tiger rattlesnake) is the source of this 2327-nucleotide long non-coding RNA. RefSeq lists it as uncharacterized. The record is from RefSeq and is a predicted model, not a curated record. Lineage: Eukaryota; Metazoa; Chordata; Lepidosauria; Squamata; Viperidae. The transcript is spliced from 2 exons.